UGCUUCCUACACCGGCUGCCCCAAGGAUAUAACACCCCGCCAUCCCGGGUGUGGGAGAGGAAAGCCAACGCCCCACCUCCCCCUGUAACCUGAGCCCUGACGCCCAGGGCUGAAGCCUUGGCUUGGGCUUGGGCCCUGAGGCCCAGCAAGUCUAAGCCAGCCCUGGCGACCCCAAUAAAACAGGGUCCCGACCCACAGUUUGAGAACUGCUGGGUUAGACUGAUGCCAUGUCCACCCUACAGGUGCUGCAGUGUUGUAGCUAUGUUGCUAAAGUGCCGGAGGAUAGACACGUCCGACAGCGAUGGAUGGGAUUUUCCCUUUUGAUGCAGGCCUUUUUAACUGCAGAGAGGUGGACUGGAGCUUCUUAAUUUAGAACUGGGUCACCGCAGAGCUCAACUGCAUUGAAACAGGACUUGCUUACUGGCUGCAUAAACACAGUUGCAGGCAUUUGUCUGCAGAUGAGCCUUUUGGACACUAGAAGCCACACUAGUGCCUGCCACGCAGAUGACUAGAGCCCUCAUCUCCCUCCCCAGAGCUGGAACUAGAGCCCUGGAGUCGGUGACGGUGACUGAAGAAGAAUCUGGGGACAGCAGCACCAGUGCUGGAAUUUAGGAGCCUAAAUACC
Molecule: long non-coding RNA, 625 nt
Organism: Mauremys reevesii (Reeves's turtle)
Lineage: Eukaryota; Metazoa; Chordata; Testudines; Geoemydidae
Exons: 3
Source: RefSeq, a predicted model, not a curated record